GAUGAACGCUAGCGAUAGGCCUAACACAUGCAAGUCGAGGGGCAUCACAUGAAGUAGCAAUACGGAUGGUGGCGACCGGCGCACGGGUGAGUAACACGUAUGCAACCUGCCUUCAACAAGGGGAUAACCCGUUGAAAGACGGACUAAUACCCUAUAACACAGGGGUCCCGCAUGGGGAUAUUUGUUAAAGGAGCAAUCCGCUAUGAGAUGGGCCCGCGGCGCAUUAGCUAGUUGGUGGGGUAAGGGCCUACCAAGGCGACGAUCGGUAGCUGGUCUGAGAGGAUGAUCAGCCACACUGGGACUGAGACACGGACCAGACUCCUACGGGAGGCAGCAGUGAGGAAUAUUGGACAAUGGAUGGAAAUCUGAUCCAGCCAUGCCGCGUGAAGGACGACGGUCCUAUGGAUUGUAAACUUCUUUUGUAUGGGAGCAAUAAGGUCUACGUGUAGAUCGAUGAGAG
This 460-nucleotide ribosomal RNA is filed under the name uncultured bacterium. RNAcentral's name for it is "bacterial SSU rRNA". It matches the Rfam family "Bacterial small subunit ribosomal RNA", at positions 28 to 475 of the family's 1533-position model. The record is from RNAcentral.